RNAcentral lists this ribosomal RNA (1229 nucleotides) under Synchytrium endobioticum. RNAcentral describes it as "small subunit ribosomal RNA". It matches the Rfam family "Bacterial small subunit ribosomal RNA". Lineage: Eukaryota; Fungi; Chytridiomycota; Chytridiomycetes; Synchytriales; Synchytriaceae. The record is from RNAcentral.
AAGCCCGAAUGUAUGAUCCUGGCUCAAAGUAAACGCAGUAUCUAGACCUAACACAUGUUGGUGAAGAGAUUAGAAGAUCAAUUUGCGGAGAGGUGAGUAAGAAAGAAAUUUACCCUUUAACCCUCAUAGAAGGUUAUUAUAAAGUAAAGGAUAAUUAAUUUUGAAGAUUAGAUAAAAGAUGAAAAUCUUGUCGAUAAUCUUUAGCAUAACGCCACAAUAACUCAAAAGUUGAGAGUUAUCCCAUGGCAGCAGUGAGGAAUAUUAGGCAAUCGGUGAAAACUGGACCUAGUCUAGAUAAGGCAAGGCAUAUAUAGCUAAGCCCUAAUCUAUCGCAAUUCGUGAUAAUGCAGCACUACACAACACAGCAGGGUAUCAUUGAAUCAAUAAAAUGAAUAUUUAGAUUAGAAAUUCUGGCGAAAUCUGUGCCAGCAGCCGCGGUAACACAGAUAGAAUAGCGUUACUAUUUAAUUAAUAGGCAUGAAGCGUAUUUAGAUGGUUAAAAAACUAGAGUAAUAAAGGAGUAAUAGGAAUAAUCGGUGUAGAGAUGAAAUGUGUAAAUAUCGAUUGGAACUACAAAGGCGACGGCAUAUUGCUAUUUAUUACUGACAUUUCAAUACUAAAGUAUGGGCAGUAACGAGGAUUAGAGACCCUUUUAAUCCAUACCCUAAAUACUGAAUGAGAAUCAAAUUAUAAAUAUCAUUCCGCCUGGAUAGUAGGAUGGCAACAUUGAAACCCAAUGGAAUAGACGGGUCUUGAGAUAAGCCGUGAAGCAUGUGGUUUAAUUGGAUGAUCCCCCUUUAAUCUUACCUUUUCUUUUAAAUGGUGUUGCAUGGCUGUUGAUUAGCUUUUGAAGUAAUUUUUAAAAAGCAAUUCACCUCAUAGGAGGUUUCACUUCAAGUACGCAUGGCCCAAUGAAAAGGGCUACACACAUGCCACAAUUUCUAAUCCAAUUUCGAAAAUUAGAAGAAGUACAGAUUUUUAACUGAAACUCGUUAAAAUGAAGCUGGAAUGGCUAGUAAUCGUGUAAUAGUAAGAUACGGUGAAUAAUUAAAUCAAGAUUGUACUAACCGCCCGUCAAGGCAAUCUAGAUAUAUAAAGAAGCAAUAGAAAUUCGAAUAUUCUGGUUUGAUUUAUCAAUUUGAAAUUGAAUUUAAUUCUCAUGUAUAUCAAGAAGGUUUAAGUCGUAACAAGGUCACCGUACUGGAAGGUGUGGUGUAAACCGUAACAGG